GAUGAAGAACGCAGCGAAAUGCGAUAAGUAAUGUGAAUUGCAGAAUUCAGUGAAUCAUCGAAUCUUUGAACGCACAUUGCGCCCCUUGGUAUUCCGAGGGGCAUGCCUGUUCGAGCGUCAUUAUAACCCCUCAAGCUCAGCUUGGUGUUGGGGCCUGCUGCACUGGCAGCCCUUAAAAUCAGUGGCGGCGCCAUCUGGCUCUAAGCGUAGUAAUUCUUCUCGCUAUGGAGUCCUGGUGGAUGCUUGCCAUCAACCCCCAAUUUUUCUAUGGUUGACCUCGGAUCAGGUAGGGAUACCCGCAGAACUUAAGCAUAUCAAUAAGCGGAGGA
This 329-nucleotide unclassified non-coding RNA is filed under the name soil metagenome. RNAcentral describes it as "partial contains 5.8S ribosomal RNA, internal transcribed spacer 2, and large subunit ribosomal RNA". The stretch from base 1 to 120 matches the Rfam family "5.8S ribosomal RNA", at positions 35 to 154 of the family's 154-position model. The record is from RNAcentral.